UAACGAAUCUUCCGCAAUGGGCGCAAGCCUGACGGAGCGACGCCGCGUGCGGGACGAAGUCCUUCGGGAUGUAAACCGCUUUUCGGGGAAAGGAAACCCGACCGUACCCGGAAUAAGCCACGGCUAACUCUGUGCCAGCAGCCGCGGUAAUACAGAGGUGGCAAGCGUUGCUCGGAAUCACUGGGCUUAAAGGGCAUGUAGGCGGCCGGACAAGCCUCUUGUGAAAUCCCCCGGCUCAACCGGGGAACC
RNAcentral lists this ribosomal RNA (249 nucleotides) under uncultured organism. RNAcentral describes it as "partial 16S ribosomal RNA". It matches the Rfam family "Bacterial small subunit ribosomal RNA", at positions 355 to 622 of the family's 1533-position model. The record is from RNAcentral.